This 395-nucleotide ribosomal RNA is filed under the name uncultured bacterium. RNAcentral's name for it is "bacterial SSU rRNA". It matches the Rfam family "Bacterial small subunit ribosomal RNA", at positions 28 to 428 of the family's 1533-position model. The record is from RNAcentral.
GACGAACGCUGGCGGCGUGCUUAACACAUGCAAGUCGAGCGGUAAGGCCCUUUCGGGGGUACACGAGCGGCGAACGGGUGAGUAACACGUGGGUGACCUGCCCUCAGCUCUGGGAUAAGCCUGGGAAACUGGGUCUAAUACUGGAUAUGACUCCACGGUGCAUGUCGUGGGGUGGAAAGCCUUGUGCGGCUGAGGAUGGGCCCGCGGCCUAUCAGCUUGUUGGUGGGGUGAUGGCCUACCAAGGCGACGACGGGCAGCCGGCCUGAGAGGGCGACCGGCCACACUGGGACUGAGACACGGCCCAGACUCCUACGGGAGGCAGCAGUGGGGAAUCUUGCGCAAUGGGCGAAAGCCUGACGCAGCGACGCCGCGUGAGGGAUGACGGCCUGGUGUAA